CAGGUUCUGAGGAUGCUGGGGAGGAGAUGCUCCUGGCAUGUUAGAUAAUGCUGAUGUGAACCCAGAGAACCUCCUCGGUCACGUCCUGCGGUGUGUCAAGUAGGUAUGCCCUAGCGCCUGCCCUGGCUGCACAGUUAGUUUGGGAGGGGUUGUAUGUUCGGAGGCCAGGCAGGGUCUGCCACUGUGUGCUCCUGACUAGGCUGAGUUACUCCUCUGUAGUGAAUGGGUGGGGGCAGCUGGAGACCUUCUGCUUGUCUCGUGACGUCACUGGUUGUGCAGCCUUUGGAAACCCCAUGUGCACAUGAGAAGAUGAGAGUGCAAAGGAAGGGUCUCUCAGAGUCAUAGGAAGAUGAUUCUGGUCUUGUGGGUCACUUUGAGGACAGAUGCUCCACCCAACGGAAACACUGCCCCUCAAAGCCUCUUUGGCUGAUAUAUCAUAGAAUUGCCACUUGAUGGCAGCAGAGGUCAACUAAAACCCUAGAGGCAUCACUAGCUGGUGACUUAGGUCUGGUGGAGGGUGGGGUCCUUGAUACUUCUCUUCCUGUCUCUCGGUUCUCUGUGCUACUGGGGACUGUCAUUUUCUUGGAUUCCAGACUCUGUGGCUAUCUGAAUAAUCUCAACAAAGUCUGCCUGUUUGGACCUCAGUUUUCCUCAUCGCCAAACACCCACAGUCUUCUUUUACCUGCUGUCGGAAUCUUCAGUAAGAACCAAGGACAGAAGUGCUUCUUGAGAGAGUCCAGCUCUCCCAGUACAGCCCAUCUCUCUCCAGGUGAGCCCUCCUCAGUGUUUGCUGCCGGAGUGGAGUCUUAUCUCACACAAUUUUACAGAAAAGCCGAGGGGAAGCACCCAGCCGGCAGGUGGUUUUGAUGUGGCGAUGAGCUCCAGUUGACAUCGCUCAGUUCCUCUCCUGAAGCAGCAGCUGUGUUGUUGGGACCCUCCCCUGCCUGCAACCCCACUGAGGUCAGUGCAGACUGCAAACCACACUGAGUGGUCUGACUCAGAAGACCCGGAUGCAGGGGAAGCCACCGGGGUUGCCACGUAGCCAGCCAGCCAGGGAGCUGCAGAAGUCUCCGUUCCUCCUGGAGAUGACCCAGAGCCAGAGACAAGCCGUCAUGUUGCUUCAAGUUUUCUGCUGCAGCUCUGACCCAAAGGCCCUACUCCUUUGGUGUCAGCAUCCACUCAGAAGUCAGUUGUCACAUGCGAACACAGAACUCACCGGACACUUGUUACUCUUCAGGACUUCAACUGUCCUUUUCACCCGAGAGAAAAAAACGAAGAAUUUGGAUUUCCUUGUGGCAUUGGUCACCUGUGACAGGCCCUCCUGGAAGCACGGUGUGGUGCAAUCAUCCUGGUAAAUGAUAAGGGCUUAGGAAAAGGGUUCGUGAAAACUGUCUAGGACAGCUUUGAGAAAGAAUCACCAAGAGAAUUUUAAAGAGCAUCUUCAUCUAAACGGUGUCACCCAAACUUGUGCUAUGUUCACAUCUGUUCCUUGACAGUCCAGGAAAUGAUCUUAAGUAAUUUAAGGUGAGUCAUUUUUCUAGUGACACCCCCGGAGGAGAUUCUGUCCAGGAAAUGUGGGCCUGAUGCCAUGACAGAGGCCAUGCUGCGUCUGCCUUGCACCUGGUGGCCCCGGCCAGGUCCAGUGGUUGCGAGUUUGAAAGUCCAGAAAAGGAAAAGCCUUUCUCACACCAGCUGAGGCAUGCCAUUGGACAGGGCUCAUGUUUCAGACAAGCUAAAAUCCUACCCUGAGAAAGGAGGGAACAGGCUGGACCCUUCCCGACCACAGACCCCAGAGGAUGGGGCGUCGGACCUCCACAGGGUUCCAAAGCCAGCUUCUCCCAGGCCCAGCUUGCAGGGUGAGCCCUGCAGAGGUCUACCUGACUGCUCUCUCAUCCUGAGCAGGAGUUAAAGCAGGACCACAGCCUCCCUGCUCCUCCUUCACUGCCACAGUGGCAGCGGCUCUCUUGGGGUCCUAUUCGGUCCCCAGCACCAAACUUUGAUGCUGUCCUCCUAGAGGACAGUUGGAACCAUUUGAAAGCCACCAAAAGCCAGCAGGAAGAUGAAGGAAGAAAAAGUGGUAGGGGCAGGGAGGAGGAGGAGCUAGAGAAAGGAGAGGUGUGUGACAUCCAGGUAGUCCACGCCUGGUGCUGUUACUUUGUUUCACAGACUGGAGUCAUCAGCACAUGAAUCAGAAAGCAAUAUCCAUAUUUUUUUCAUUUUGUGAAUGACCAUUUAUCUCAAGAUAGUCAAUAAAUUUUAGACUCUGAAAAAUAUUCAAAUUUCUCAAGGGCCAUGAGGCUAACUUAAAUACAUAGAUAUAUGUAUAAUGUACAUAAAAACAUACAAGUUUUAAAGGUGGGGUCUAUACUAUAACAGUUACACUUGAAUAAUAAUUUAAAACUUAGAAUGUCAAGUAAAUUGUGUUACUUUUCUUCAAAGCUUAAACAGAGUCCCAAUGAUCUUUUUCAAUUAUACUUACAGAUGGGAUGGGAAGACACAAGCAGCUGGUUACCUGCAAGAGAGAAAUCUCAGCAUAAACAUUCUAGCUGUGAACGUUAAGACAGGUUUGGAAGGCUCUUAAGAAAUCAUUCACUCACAUUGGUGCUGCAACUGCAUUUUGAGGCUGGGUCUCCCUAUAGUAGGCAAAGAGAUGAUAACUCAGAGUGAGUAGAGUGCCCUUCCUCAUCCUCCAGGGAUGGCUCACACAGUUGCCAGCUCCCCCCAGCCCCAUAAUCUACCUGCAGCUUCUCAAUAAGGAAACUGGUGUCUCUGAUCACCCAUGUGGUGUUGCAUUUCCGGUCCAGCACAGAACCAAGAGAACCGAAGAGCAGGGCAGAGGCAAGGAUGGAG
Long non-coding RNA from Peromyscus californicus insignis, 2850 nucleotides. RefSeq lists it as uncharacterized. The transcript has 3 exons. The record is from RefSeq and is a predicted model, not a curated record. NCBI's taxonomy places the organism in Eukaryota, Metazoa, Chordata, Mammalia, Rodentia, Cricetidae.